UCUCGGUGAUGGAAUUCCAAUAGAUCCUUCUGACCCUGCACUGUGGACUCAAUCGCAGGGGGGUGACGAGGACAGAGACUGAGAGA
This is a small nucleolar RNA of Tupaia belangeri (northern tree shrew), 86 nucleotides long. NCBI's taxonomy places the organism in Eukaryota, Metazoa, Chordata, Mammalia, Scandentia, Tupaiidae. The record is from Ensembl.